This 57-nucleotide transfer RNA is filed under the name Ovis aries (sheep). It matches the Rfam family "tRNA", at positions 8 to 63 of the family's 71-position model. Rfam says of the family: Transfer RNA (tRNA) molecules are approximately 80 nucleotides in length. Their secondary structure includes four short double-helical elements and three loops (D, anti-codon, and T loops). Further hydrogen bonds mediate the characteristic L-shaped molecular structure. tRNAs have two regions of fundamental functional importance: the anti-codon, which is responsible for specific mRNA codon recognition, and the 3' end, to which the tRNAs corresponding amino acid is attached (by aminoacyl-tRNA synthetases). tRNAs cope with the degeneracy of the genetic code in two manners: having more than one tRNA (with a specific anti-codon) for a particular amino acid; and 'wobble' base-pairing, i.e. permitting non-standard base-pairing at the 3rd anti-codon position. Lineage: Eukaryota; Metazoa; Chordata; Mammalia; Artiodactyla; Bovidae. The record is from Rfam by way of RNAcentral.
UGGCUCAGGUGGUAAAGCAUCUGCUUACAAUGCAGGAGACCCGGGUUCAAUCCCUGG